RNAcentral lists this ribosomal RNA (468 nucleotides) under uncultured bacterium. RNAcentral's name for it is "partial 16S ribosomal RNA". It matches the Rfam family "Bacterial small subunit ribosomal RNA", at positions 28 to 507 of the family's 1533-position model. The record is from RNAcentral.
GACGAACGCUGGCGGCGUGCUUAACACAUGCAAGUCGAACGGAAAGGCCCUGCUUUUGUGGGGUGCUCGAGUGGCGAACGGGUGAGUAACACGUGAGUAACCUGCCCUUGACUUUGGGAUAACUUCAGGAAACUGGGGCUAAUACCGGAUAGGAGCUCCUGCUGCAGGGGGGGGGUUGGAAAGUUUCGGCGGGUGGGGCUGGACUCGCGGCUUAUCAGCUUGUUGGUGGGGGAGUGGCUUACCAAGGGUUUGGCGGGUAGCCGGCCUGGGAGGGUGACCGGCCACCUUGGGCCUGCGGUACGGCCCAGACUCCUACGGGAGGCAGCAGUGGGGAAUAUUGCACAAUGGGCGGAAGCCUGAUGCGGCAACGCCGCGUGCGGGAUGACGGCCUUCGGGUUGUAAACCGCUUUCGCCUGUGACGAAGCGUGAGUGACGGUAAUGGGUAAAGAAGCACCGGCUAACUACGUG